UUGUAGAAGAUCUGAAGAAAGGUCAACCAGAAGUUAACAAUUUGGAUUAGAAGAAAAGGACACCCUCAGUAGCUAAUGAGAGCAUAAGACUAUGUGGAUAUCAUCACACUCAGAAGACUACAUCGGACUUGGAAGACCUUCAUGCUUCAGAAGCACCUGAGGGACUCUACGUCUGUUUUGUCGUCUUUUGUAACCUGUCCAUAUCAAAGGAUCUAAGCAUAAUUUUGUGUUCUUCUGUCUACAUGUAGAAACAGACAAAUAACUUCAAGGGCAAUAAGAAUGAACGGAUAUUUCCUGUUUCAACAAAGGAUUUUCAAAUGACUAUCCAACAAAAUUAUGCAUAUCAGAAAAUUGCUCAACGUCCUUGAUAUCAAACUUCUUAAUGAAUCUUUUUGUACUGACAAUCUUCUCCAACUUCUCUCAAAUUCUUGCCUAUAUAAGGAGCUGAAAACCUGAAGAAGAUUAACAAGACUCUGCUAUUUUACUGUUCUAUUACUCUAUCAAAUCUAAUAGCGGAAAACACUUAGGAUUUUUGUAUUCAAGUUCAUAUCUUAGAAAAUCCUAAAGAGUUUGUUCAUUUGUUCAGUU
This 588-nucleotide long non-coding RNA is filed under the name Medicago truncatula (barrel medic). RNAcentral describes it as "lncRNA gene2987". The record is from RNAcentral. Lineage: Eukaryota; Viridiplantae; Streptophyta; Magnoliopsida; Fabales; Fabaceae.